RNAcentral lists this ribosomal RNA (208 nucleotides) under uncultured bacterium. RNAcentral's name for it is "partial 16S ribosomal RNA". It matches the Rfam family "Bacterial small subunit ribosomal RNA", at positions 568 to 774 of the family's 1533-position model. The record is from RNAcentral.
CGCGUAGGUUGGUUUUUUAAGUCGGAUGUGAAAUCCCCGGGCUUAACCUGGGAACUGCACCCGAUACUGGACGACUAGAGUGCGAGAGAGGGAGGUAGAAUUCCACGUGUAGCGGUGAAAUGCGUAGAUAUGUGGAGGAAUACCGGUGGCGAAGGCGGCCUCCUGGCUCGACACUGACGCUGAGGUGCGAAAGCGUGGGGAGCAAACA